This 253-nucleotide ribosomal RNA is filed under the name uncultured bacterium. Its description in RNAcentral is "partial 16S ribosomal RNA". It matches the Rfam family "Bacterial small subunit ribosomal RNA", at positions 524 to 776 of the family's 1533-position model. The record is from RNAcentral.
GACGAAGGAUGCAAGCGUUAUCCGGAUUCAUUGGGUUUAAAGGGCGCGUAGGUGGCCUUAUAAGUCAGUGGUGAAAUCUCUCGGCUUAACUGAGAAAUUGCCAUUGAUACUGUAGGGCUUGAGUACAGUUGCUGUGGGCGGAAUAUGUCAUGUAGUGGUGAAAUACAUAGAGAUGUCAUAGAACACCGAUUGCGAAGGCAGCUCACAAAACUGUAACUGACACUGAGGCUCGAAAGUGCGGGGAUCAAACAGG